This 1083-nucleotide ribosomal RNA is filed under the name Salipaludibacillus agaradhaerens. RNAcentral's name for it is "bacterial SSU rRNA". It matches the Rfam family "Bacterial small subunit ribosomal RNA", at positions 59 to 1103 of the family's 1533-position model. Lineage: Bacteria; Bacillati; Bacillota; Bacilli; Caryophanales; Bacillaceae. The record is from RNAcentral.
CAGUCGAGCGCAGGAAGCCGGCAGAUCCCUUCGGGGUGACGCCGGUGGAAUGAGCGGCGGACGGGUGAGUAACACGUGGGCAACCUGCCUUGCAGACUGGGAUAACUCCGGGAAACCGGGGCUAAUACCGGAUGAUCAUUUGGAUCGCAUGAUCCGAAUGUAAAAGUGGGGAUUUAUCCUCACACUGCAAGAUGGGCCCGCGGCGCAUUAGCUAGUUGGUAAGGUAAUGGCUUACCAAGGCGACGAUGCGUAGCCGACCUGAGAGGGUGAUCGGCCACACUGGAACUGAGACACGGUCCAGACUCCUACGGGAGGCAGCAGUAGGGAAUCAUCCGCAAUGGGCGAAAGCCUGACGGUGCAACGCCGCGUGAACGAUGAAGGUUUUCGGAUCGUAAAGUUCUGUUAUGAGGGAAGAACACGUGCCGUUCGAAUAGGGCGGCACCUUGACGGUACCUCACGAGAAAGCCCCGGCUAACUACGUGCCAGCAGCCGCGGUAAUACGUAGGGGGCAAGCGUUGUCCGGAAUUAUUGGGCGUAAAGCGCGCGCAGGCGGUCUCUUAAGUCUGAUGUGAAAGCCCACGGCUCAACCGUGGAGGGUCAUUGGAAACUGGGGGACUUGAGUGUAGGAGAGGAAAGUGGAAUUCCACGUGUAGCGGUGAAAUGCGUAGAUAUGUGGAGGAACACCAGUGGCGAAGGCGACUUUCUGGCCUACAACUGACGCUGAGGCGCGAAAGCGUGGGGAGCAAACAGGAUUAGAUACCCUGGUAGUCCACGCCGUAAACGAUGAGUGCUAGGUGGUUAGGGGUUUCGAUACCCUUAGUGCCGAAGUUAACACAUUAAGCACUCCGCCUGGGGGAGUACGGCCGCAAGGCUGAAACUCAAAGGAAUUGACGGGGGCCCGCACAAGCAGUGGAGCAUGUGGUUUAAUUCGAAGCAACGCGAAGAACCUUACCAGGUCUUGACAUCCUCUGACACCUCUGGAGACAGAGCGUUCCCCUUCGGGGGACAGAGUGACAGGUGGUGCAUGGUUGUCGUCAGCUCGUGUCGUGAGAUGUUGGGUUAAGUCCCGCAACGAGCGCAACC